Molecule: ribosomal RNA, 747 nt
Filed under: uncultured bacterium
Lineage: Bacteria
Description: bacterial SSU rRNA
Rfam family: Bacterial small subunit ribosomal RNA
Source: RNAcentral
ACGCUGGCGGCAGGCCUAACACAUGCAAGUCGAGCGGUAGAGAGAAGCUUGCUUCUCUUGAGAGCGGCGGACGGGUGAGUAAUGCCUAGGAAUCUGCCUGGUAGUGGGGGAUAACGUUCGGAAACGGACGCUAAUACCGCAUACGUCCUACGGGAGAAAGCAGGGGACCUUUCGGGCCCUUGCGCUAUCAGAUGAGCCUAGGUCGGAUUAGCUAGUUGGUGAGGUAAUGGCUCACCAAGGCGACGAUCCGUAACUGGUCUGAGAGGAUGAUCAGUCACACUGGAACUGAGACACGGUCCAGACUCCUACGGGAGGCAGCAGUGGGGAAUAUUGGACAAUGGGCGAAAGCCUGAUCCAGCCAUGCCGCGUGUGUGAAGAAGGUCUUCGGAUUGUAAAGCACUUUAAGUUGGGAGGAAGGGUUGUAGAUUAAUACUCUGCAAUUUUGACGUUACCGACAGAAUAAGCACCGGCUAACUCUGUGCCAGCAGCCGCGGUAAUACAGAGGGUGCAAGCGUUAAUCGGAAUUACUGGGCGUAAAGCGCGCGUAGGUGGUUUGUUAAGUUGGAUGUGAAAUCCCCGGGCUCAACCUGGGAACUGCAUUCAAAACUGACUGACUAGAGUAUGGUAGAGGGUGGUGGAAUUUCCUGUGUAGCGGUGAAAUGCGUAGAUAUAGGAAGGAACACCAGUGGCGAAGGCGACCACCUGGACUAAUACUGACACUGAGGUGCGAAAGCGUGGGGAGCAAAC